AAUGAUUUGGGCACUGUCUCAACGAGAGACUCGGUGAAAUUAUAGUACCCGUGAAGAUGCGGGUUACCCGCGACAGGACGGAAAGACCCCAUGGAGCUUUACUGUAGCUUGAUAUUGAGUGUUGGUACCGCUUGUACAGGAUAGGUAGGAGCCGUAGAGAUCGGAACGCUAGUUUCGAUGGAGGCAUUGGUGGGAUACUACCCUAGCUGUAUGAACACUCUAACCCGCGCCACUGAUCGUGGCGGGAGACAGUGUCAGGUAGGCAGUUUGACUGGGGCGGUCGCCUCCUAAAAUGUAACGGAGGCGCCCAAAGGUUCCCUCAGAAUGGUUGGAAAUCAUUCGCAGAGUGUAAAGGUAGAAGGGAGCUUGACUGCGAGACUGACAAGUCGAGCAGGGACGAAAGUCGGGCUUAGUGAUCCGGUGGUUCCGUAUGGAAGGGCCAUCGCUCAACGGAUAAAAGCUACCCUGGGGAUAACAGGCUUAUCUCCCCCAAGAGUCCACAUCGACGGGGAGGUUUGGCACCUCGAUGUCGGCUCAUCGCAUCCUGGGGCUGUAGUCGGUCCCAAGGGUUGGGCUGUUCGCCCAUUAAAGCGGUACGCGAGCUGGGUUCAGAACGUCGUGAGACAGUUCGGUCCCUAUCCGUCGCGGGCGCAGGAAAUUUGAGAGGAGCUGUCCUUAGUACGAGAGGACCGGGAUGGACGUUCCGCUGGUGUACCAGUUGUGCCGCCAGGCGCAUCGCUGGGUAGCUAUGAACGGAAGGGAUAAACGCUGAAAGCAUCUAAGUGUGAAGCCCCCCUCGAGAUGAGAUUUCCCAUUCCUAUAUGGAAGUAAGACCCCUGAAAGAUGAUCAGGUAGAUAGGCUGGAAGUGGAAGUGCAGCGAUGCAUGGAGCGGACCAGUACUAAUCGGUCGAGGACUUAACCAA
RNAcentral lists this ribosomal RNA (924 nucleotides) under Lacticaseibacillus rhamnosus. Its description in RNAcentral is "partial 23S ribosomal RNA". It matches the Rfam family "Bacterial large subunit ribosomal RNA", at positions 2003 to 2925 of the family's 2925-position model. The record is from RNAcentral. Lineage: Bacteria; Bacillati; Bacillota; Bacilli; Lactobacillales; Lactobacillaceae.